RNAcentral lists this ribosomal RNA (331 nucleotides) under uncultured bacterium. Its description in RNAcentral is "bacterial SSU rRNA". It matches the Rfam family "Bacterial small subunit ribosomal RNA", at positions 568 to 898 of the family's 1533-position model. The record is from RNAcentral.
CGCGUAGGCGGUCCCGCACGUCGGAGGUGAAAUCCCCGGGCUCAACCCGGGAGCUGCCUCCGAUACGGCGGGGCUUGAGUCCGGGAGAGGGGAGCAGAAUUCCCAGUGUAGCGGUGAAAUGCGUAGAUAUUGGGAGGAAUACCGGUGGCGAAGGCGGCUCCCUGGACCGGUACUGACGCUGAGGCGCGAAAGCGUGGGUAGCAAACAGGAUUAGAUACCCUGGUAGUCCAGCCGUAAACGAUGAACACUUGGUAUAGCGGGUAUCGAACCCCGCUGUGCCGGAGCUAACGCGUUAAGUGUUCCGCCUGGGGAGUACGGUCGCAAGGCUGAA